This 492-nucleotide ribosomal RNA is filed under the name uncultured bacterium. RNAcentral's name for it is "partial 16S ribosomal RNA". It matches the Rfam family "Bacterial small subunit ribosomal RNA", at positions 29 to 507 of the family's 1533-position model. The record is from RNAcentral.
AGUGAACGCUGGCGGUAGGCCUAACACAUGCAAGUCGAACGGCAGCACAGUAAGAGCUUGCUCUUACGGGUGGCGAGUGGCGGACGGGUGAGGAAUACAUCGGAAUCUACUUUUUCGUGGGGGAUAACGUAGGGAAACUUACGCUAAUACCGCAUACGACCUACGGGUGGAAGCAGGGGAUCUUCGGACCUUGCGCGAUUGAAUGAGCCGAUGUCGGAUUAGCUAGUUGGCGGGGUAAAGGCCCACCAAGGCGACGAUCCGUAGCUGGUCUGAGAGGAUGAUCAGCCACACUGGAACUGAGACACGGUCCAGACUCCUACGGGAGGCAGCAGUGGGGAAUAUUGGACAAUGGGCGCAAGCCUGAUCCAGCCAUACCGCGUGGGUGAAGAAGGCCUUCGGGCUGUAAAGCCCUUUUGUUGGGAAAGAAAGGCAGCAGGUUAAUACCCCGCUGUCCUGACGGUACCCAAAGAAUAAGCACCGGCUAACUUCGUG